Long non-coding RNA from Helicoverpa armigera (cotton bollworm), 1388 nucleotides. RefSeq lists it as uncharacterized. NCBI's taxonomy places the organism in Eukaryota, Metazoa, Arthropoda, Insecta, Lepidoptera, Noctuidae. The record is from RefSeq and is a predicted model, not a curated record. The transcript is spliced from 2 exons.
AUAAGUCAUUAUAAGACUUAGGUACAAUUGCCGCCGCUCUGAAGAACCGGAUUGUUGCUUACCAAAAAUUUUGCUAUUAAAAUAAGAAAAGUGAUGAAUAUUUAGCAACAUUUAUUUAACUUAUGAAUUAGUUAGUAUAAUUCAAAGUCGGAUGAGAUCAUCCAGUGAGACGAACACUAAACUUUUGACAUUGACGAUUUGAUAAAUAGCCAAACCGCUUAUACCUAUUGCAACCUAUUUUAAGCAUAGUUACUUAUUCUCAUAAGAAUACGCUAAUUCUUGUCUUGAGAUGCAUCCGUAAUUCUAAAUGCUGCGGGAUAGUUCGAAAGAGUUACCGCGGCCUUGGUACAUAUAGGGCUUGAGAAGGAACAUGAUGAGUUUAGUCAGUACGAGUCUGACACUCCCUCACGCUACAACAGCAGAAUGGAGGCAUUUUAAUGAUUUCCCUCAUAACAAAAAAAAAACGGAUAUGUCCAUAUGUACUGAAUAUGAUAAUUUGGUCAGGUCACGAGUUUGAUAGUGGUCACGUUUUUAGUAUUACGAAUGUUUAUUUUGAAUACUGCUACUGGCCUUUAUUAUUGACCUAGAUUAGAUUAGAAUUUCAGAAGCUGUGACAGACGUAAAUUAAAGAUAGCUCGAAAUAAUCUGGACAGUCUGACGUUGGUUUAUCGACAAUUCGCUGUUUAUAUUCGAAGUUAGGGUCGUAAUGUAGUCUUAUUCCCUCUUAUUAUAAAACGCGGUAUCAAAUAAGUAUCGGCUUUUGUACUACCUUUAAUCCACCUUUAAGUACGACCUUGAAAAAACGUUAUUACAAAACGCAGUUUAUCGCAAGUCCUAUUACUAUCUGUAGUACAAAAGAUAAACCAUCGAGCCCCCUAGUUUAACUGCAGUACUUAGUCGACAAACGUCAAAUUCCGACAUUAUUUACUUUUGAGGUUAUUUGUUCUGUGAUGAAAAAAACGAAAGUGGAUAUAAAUAUGUGUGAUUUGGAAUACUUGGAUGUAUUAGAAUACUAUUGAGAGUGUCCGGGGACCCAACAGAAUGCGUCAUCGACAAAAUCUCUUCAAAUUACCUGACGACAAUUUUCGAUAUAAAUAUCGAUUUACGUUUUUCGAAAUAAUAGUCAAUUGAAUGCAUGAUGAUAAUCCAGGAUGAUCCUAUGAUGCUCAACUGGGCUCGCCAUAAAAUUCAAGACUAUUUUGGCGUUUUGCACGCCGUAUCUCUGCCAGUAAUAUGCAAUGUUUGUAAAAGACUGGAAGCUUGCUAAAAUGUACAAAAAUGCCUAGAUGAGAAAGGGAACAAGAUUGUGUGAUGAAGAACAGUGUCCAACAUGUAUCAGUGCAUUUGACUGUAUAAAUAGACAUCGGAAUAAAAUAUAAUUUUCUACU